UACAGUGCACUCGCGAAAACUCGAACUAAUGAAAACCACACCUAUUCGAGUUAACGAAUUAUUCCAGUUUUCGAGUGUUAUAUUUUUCUUGCAUAAUUCAAAAUAUUAGUAUGUUUUGUAAUGUUUAGUGAUUCAUGAUUAAUUCAUUCGAAUAUUUUAUUUUUCUUUUCUUAAAUAAUACAAUGAACAUGUGUAUCUAAUUAUUAGAAAAAAAGCAGUGAUUUGUGUUUGCCGUUUCUUAUGUUCGACCGAAUUCAAUACGGCCUUUUCACGCAAUGAUUGCAAUACAAAUCAUUCUGCCUCAUAUUCAUCUUCAGAAUUGCUUUCUUCAAUUGGUUCCUCUUUAAUCAAGCCUUUAUUCCAGUUAUUUAUUUCUUCUUUUGUAAAAAGAACCUAAUAAAAAUGUGUUGUUGUUAAACAUGACUUUUUUAUUUUGAAGCACCACCAUACCUCAGGAUUUAAGCCUUCGAGAAUAUUCGCAGAUUCUUUUUCCAAUUUUUUAGCUUCUGCUUCCAUUUGGUUUUUCAAAACAUUAAGCGGAACAUCAUCGUCGUCGUCGUUAUCCAGGUUUGGCAAAGUUUAAAAUAUUUUUCCAGCACUUCACCAAAGUAUCUUGCCCCAACUUUUUCCAAGCUCUAUCCAAAAAUGUAACAUCUUCGCUCAAGUUAAUUUUUUUCAUUGAUUCCACCAAAUCGCAUUGAUCGGUGAAAAUGGCUGCCAACAGAGAAUUUCUAUAGAGAAUUUAUAAAAAGGCUUGACAUUCGGGGGCAAAAACAUCGCUGCCAUCUUCAGACUUUAAUUCAUCUUCGUUUGGAUGCGAAGAGCGUUGUCAAGAAGAAGCCUUUUGAGGCACCUUUUAAUAAAACAAUACGCAUCUAACAUGCGUUGGACAUGUUAACAUACAACAAUACGAAUAUGUAUGUAUAUUAUAUAUGAUAUGUUUUUGCGUAUAAAAUAAUGGACAUUUUUUGUUCGAGUUUUAGAGCCAUCAUAUUUUGUUCGAGUUUUAAAGUAGCCAAUGGAGAAGAAACAAUUUUCAAGUUUCCGAACGUUCGAGUUAUCGUGUGUUCGAGUUUUCGCGAGUGCAAUGUAUAUAACUUGCUUUUAAAACAAUUAAGUAGAUGCUUUUACAGCAAAUUAUUUAUCAAUAUGCAUAGAUGUACAAUGGAAUUUCUCGUAACUCGAAUCACCAUAAUUCACAAAAAAACUUCGAGCUAGAGAGACUUCCAGUUAUAAAAUUUUCAUUAAAACUUACAAAAUUUCAAAAAGCUUUAAAAUAUAGAUGUAUUCAAGGUUUUAUUUAUUUACUUCGCAUACAGUUUUAUGUACAUACAUUAAAACAUGUAUUCUGUAAUUUUGUUUGUUGCAGUUUGCUGUUGUUUGGUUCUUGACUUCUGUAUCCCAAGCCUUUGUUACAUGAUUUAUAAAAUCCAUAAGCGUAUGAUUUAUAUGAUUUAUAAAAUCCAACACAUUCAAAGAAAUGUUAAUAACACAUUCGCAAAACUCUUAUUUAUGCAAGCUUGCUGCAAUCUUAAUUUACAAAACGCUUGCUAAUAUGUUUGCUGGGGUAUUUCAUCCGUAAUAGUACCAAGAACAGUACUGAAAGUGCAUAUGUAGUUUUGGUGCGCAGUUUGGGGUCUUUCAUCUGUGAUUGUACCAAUAACAUUCCGGAAAUAGUGCAAGAGGUAUAUACAGUGCUAAAUGAUGAAUAUACCCUGCAAGACAGGUACCGGCGAAUUCUUCGGUGAAUGCCAGGGAGCGGUACUAGCAGUUUCAAUGAAAGUUUCUAUUCCAUUCUUAAGGGCGAAUUGACAAAAGUCAAUCCCGAAACUAUUGUGUACCUGUGAUCGUUCAUCCCUUUGUUGCACAUUUUAUUUACCUCUUGCACAAUUCUGUGAAUGCGUUUUGUAAAUUAAGAUUGCAGCAAGCUUGCAAAAAUAAGAGUUUUGCGAAUGUCGUUGACAAUUUGCUUGCAAAUGCAAGUGUUUUGCGAACGUCGUUGACAAUUUACUUGCAAAUGUAAGUGUUUCAUAAAUUUAAGCAAAACAUGUAGUUCUCGCCGCAAAAGUUUGUAUGUAAAAUUGUUCUUAAAGUUGUUAAAUUAAGUGCGUUUGAUACUUUUAAUUAUCAUUUGCAAUUAAAAAAGGUAAUAAUCUACUUAUUUAAUGUCUGCAGCAAAAAAGAAGAAAAGUGUUGUGCGCAGCAGCUUCGAAAUUUUUGAACAUCUAUGGAACGCUGCGGCUGCAAGUUCUGUAAGUACCCAGAGUGAAUUUGUGGAACAGGAGGUUGUGCCUGAAGUACAGAAUAAUUUAGAUUCCUUGUUGCCAAUGGCCGAUGGCGCCGUUAUUGAUUUCAACAAACGUUUAGCUGCAUGGUUUGUAGAGAGCAAUGUGUCCAAUGUGCAUGCUAAUAAAUUAUUGGACUUAUUAAGCGACAAAAUUGAAGGUCUACCAAAAGAUAUCAGAACGCUUAAACGUACGCCGACUGAUGCUCCAGUUGUCUCGUUAGCAGGUGGAGAAUAUGCGCAUUAUGGCUUGAGAGACUGUUUGACAGAUUUUUUGCGGGAAUAUAAAGUGCAUACAAAUAUUUUAGAAUUGAACUUUAACAUCGAUGGAUUGCCAAUUUCGAAAAGUUCGCUGAAGAGCGUGUGGCCUAUUUUAGUGAAUGUAAAUGGGACGGAUUCAGUUUUCGUGGUUGCUAUUUUUUGUGGACGGUCUCAUCCCAAUAAUGUGAAUAAGUUUCUGGCACAAUUUGUCGAUGAGUUGAACGAUCUUCUCCAAAAUGGAUCCUCAUACGAAAAUAAAACUUUUGUAAUAAAAUGUCGAGCAUUUAUUCUGGAUGCACCAGCUAGGUCACAUAUGCUUGGAGUCAAAGGACACGCAGGCUAUAGUUGCUGCACAAAGUGCAUUAAGAGGGGCGAACGGAAAGAGAAUUGUAUAAUAUUCCAUUAUCAAAAUCAUCCUUUGCGCACAAAUAUAAAUUUUCGGCAAAGAACUGAUGUCAGCCAUCACAAACAGCAAAGUUCUUUGGAGAUUGAAAAACUUCCAAUCGGCGUGAUCCAAGUAUUCGCUCUAGAUUACAUGCACGUGGUGUGUUUGGGUGUAAUGAAGGCUUUGCUUGGAUCCUGGAUAAAAGUUAAAAAUCGCAAUUAUUUUUUGCAACAAAAUGAUAUACGAAAACUAAGCACAGAAUUUCAAUUCAUUGCGCGUUACAUACCAAGAGACUUUUGUAGGAAACCACGGGAUUUAAAAGAGAAAGACCGCUUCAAAGCAACGGAAUUCCGUCAGUUCCUUUUGUAUACAGGCCAGGUUGUGCUAAAGGACAUAUUGAGCGAAGAGAGGUACAUUCAUUUUUUGCAACUUAGUCUUGCAAUGCGAAUUCUCCUCAAUGCUGAAGAUUGUAUACAAAAUAACAAAUGCGCAGAGGAGCUGAGAAAGGAUUUCUUACUCAGAGUCCCUGUUUUAUAUGAUGAUUUAUUGUUAACAUAUAAUUGCCACUGUUUGAGUCAUUUGGCCAGAGAUUCCAUGCACUUUGGAUCACUAGAGACAACCAGUGCUUUCAAGUUUGAAAAUAAAUUAGGAAAAAUUAAGAAACUACUUAAGAAAAAAAAUAAUGUUCUGUCCCAUAUUUACAACAGACUAGUUGAGCAGAGUGUACAUGGAAAUCAUCAUACAAAUAUUGUUCCUAAAAAAUCUACAGUACAAAGUGAUGGCACUUACAAAUUUGUUAAAACUAAAAACUUUUAUUUAUCGUCUAUUGCACCUGAGAACUUUUAUUUAGUACACAAAUUAAUUUUCAAACUUAUUUCCAUAUCAAGAUCUGCUGAUAACGAUUUUGUACUUCACGGGCUAAGGGUACUAGACUUACAUAACUUAUAUGAUAAGCCGCUUCAAUCAUCGCUUUUUAAUAUUUACCGUGCCGAAAAUCUCAGUUUUAACAAAACACUGAAUCACCAUACGCUUGACGAAGUAACAUCAAAAGUUAUAUGCUUCUACACCAGAUCGUCUUAUAUAUUUGUGCCACUCAUAGCAGAUCAUGUCGCAGAACAAUCUCAAUUACAUCGUCGACCCCAUUAAUGAUGACAUCGCAUCCUCACAAACUAUUUAUGUGAUGCAACCAAGUCCAAGCACAACAACAAUAUUUAUUUUUAAAGGAUACUUUUAACAUAACACCGCAACACUUUUCUCAUAUUUGUUUUAUAUUUUUUCGGCAGCAAUUCAAUCAGUAAUUAUCGACGCAUGUCAAAAGGCUGUUGAAAAGGUGGAGGAAAAAAAUAAGUUAAUAUUGUUGCGCCUAACCGAAAACGUUGAGGGGAUGCGCAAAGAAAUCAUUGAUCUUAAAAAAGCGGUAUCACAUAAUAACGCUACUAUUAUACCAAGCAAGCCGUAUGCUAAUAUUGAAGACUUCCUCAAUUUUGAGAAAACUAUUCUGGAAGAUAUAGAUACAUUUUCCUUGCUGAAGGCAGAUCUAAAAAGAUGGUCAACAUCCAAUUCGAGAAAAUUUGUUACGAAAGCGUGGCAGAAGAUUAUGACUGACAACGUUGCUGAGAGCUUUUCCUGGCGAGGAAUUGGAGAUAAGAAGUGCAUUAGGGCCUUCACUGUCGCCACUGCUAUUCAUCAAACUUUCGCUGAAAAUGGAGGCAAGGAAGAGGACUUUGUGUUUGCCUCUAAGUCAUAUUUCCAGAACGCAAAAAAUCGUAUUAAAAUUAAAACAACAAAAAAAGUAAACUAAAAUACUAAGUAGUAAUGAUUUUUUAAAUGAAAAGACAAUGAAGUUCCUAUUUUUAUAUUUUAAUGUAAUAUUAUUCUAUGAAG
RNA transcript from Zeugodacus cucurbitae (melon fly), 4814 nucleotides. RefSeq lists it as uncharacterized. The record is from RefSeq and is a predicted model, not a curated record. The transcript has 3 exons. NCBI's taxonomy places the organism in Eukaryota, Metazoa, Arthropoda, Insecta, Diptera, Tephritidae.